GAUGAAGAACGUAGCGAAAUGCGAUACGUAAUGUGAAUUGCAGAAUUCAGUGAAUCAUCGAAUCUUUGAACGCACAUUGCGCCCGCCAGUAUUCUGGCGGGCAUGCCUGUUCGAGCGUCAUUUCAACCAUCAAGCCCCAGGCUUGUGUUGGGGGCCUGCAGCUGCUGCAGCCCCCUAAAAGCAGUGGCGGACUCGCUGUCAUACCGAGCGCAGUAGUUACAUCUCGCUCUGGGCAUGGCGGCGGGCACCUGCCGUAAAACACUCUUUCUAAGGUUGACCUCGGAUCAGGUAGGAAUACCCGCUGAACUUAAGCAUAUCAAUAAGCGGAGGA
RNAcentral lists this unclassified non-coding RNA (331 nucleotides) under soil metagenome. RNAcentral's name for it is "partial contains 5.8S ribosomal RNA, internal transcribed spacer 2, and large subunit ribosomal RNA". The stretch from base 1 to 120 matches the Rfam family "5.8S ribosomal RNA", at positions 35 to 154 of the family's 154-position model. The record is from RNAcentral.